RNAcentral lists this ribosomal RNA (439 nucleotides) under uncultured bacterium. RNAcentral describes it as "partial 16S ribosomal RNA". It matches the Rfam family "Bacterial small subunit ribosomal RNA", at positions 339 to 795 of the family's 1533-position model. The record is from RNAcentral.
CUACGGGUGGCUCCAGUGGGGAAUAUUGCACAAUGGGCGAAAGCCUGAUGCAGCAACGCCGCGUGGAGGAUGACACAUUUCGGUGCGUAAACUCCUUUUAUAUAAGAAGAUAAUGACGGUAUUAUAUGAAUAAGCACCGGCUAACUCCGUGCCAGCAGCCGCGGUAAUACGGGGGGUGCAAGCGUUACUCGGAAUCACUGGGCGUAAAGAGCAUGUAGGCGGGAUGACAAGUUGGAAGCGAAAUCCUAUGGCUUAACCAUAGAACUGCUUCCAAAACUGUCUUCCUAGAGUAUGGGAGAGGUAGAUGGAAUUUCUGGUGUAGGGGUAAAAUCCGUAGAGAUCAGAAGGAAUACCGAUUGCGAAGGCGAUCUACUGGAACAUUACUGACGCUCAGAUGCGAAAGCGUGGGGAGCAAACAGGAUUAGAUACCCGCGUAGUC